UUCGUCCUGUGCCGGUAGUAAUAGCGAUGUUUCUGUAAUGGAGAUGUACGCAUAAAGACAGAAAUUCUGUUGCUCGGGCUCCUCUCAAUAAGGGAGAUGAGCAAGAUAUGUUGGGAGAGGACAUGUAGGAGAAGAAAGGCGGAAACCUUUUGAUUAUUUGUGACAAAUUUGGAUAAGAAUCAGAUGAGCGCGAGUGGAUUCGCCCGGCGGCCGCGGCGCGAUGGCGCACAGUGGGAGAAAACCGUUUUACCCGGACAAAAGGCCAAAAAUAAAGUGCUAUAUUCAGGACUAUACUAAGACUUUUUAUAAUCAGGAAUGUCUAAAUAUUACGAAAAAAGAGAUUUUUAUCCUAUGCAUAGCCCACGUGUCUGUAAAUCGUCACUUAAAUGUAAUAGUAAUAGAAAGCAGUGAGAAACUCAGUAUGUUAUACUUUGAUUUGACGGUGCCCAAUGUUAACAAAACCUUAAAGGUAAUUCAAAAUGAGUUGUAUUUCAUUUAGUUCUAUCCUUGUAGACUUUAUGUGACUGUUUAUAUUUGCCAUUUGAUGAAAUAAUAUAGACAUAAUCAUAUGGUAUCAUCCUUAUGUUUAAAAAAAUAUUCAAUCAAGUGUUUUGUGACAUAUAAAAGAGCCAACGCAAGCCAACACUCAAAAUUAAGCAUGAAUCAAAAGUCUAAAUUAUGAGCUUAAAUUUCAAUAAAAAAGCAGCUGCACCUACUUGCCCUUUACUUGGAAAACGACAUAUGAAAUUGGUAUCACAACAGUACUGCGUUCGUCCGAGUGGCGAACAAAACUGCAAAUAUACAUAUUUAUCCUGAAAUCUUUACGAAAAUGUUAUUUCAAUAAUAUAUGAAGAAAUU
Molecule: long non-coding RNA, 858 nt
Filed under: Harpegnathos saltator (Jerdon's jumping ant)
Lineage: Eukaryota; Metazoa; Arthropoda; Insecta; Hymenoptera; Formicidae
Description: uncharacterized LOC112589044, transcript variant X1
Source: RNAcentral